RNAcentral lists this ribosomal RNA (535 nucleotides) under uncultured bacterium. RNAcentral describes it as "partial 16S ribosomal RNA". It matches the Rfam family "Bacterial small subunit ribosomal RNA", at positions 355 to 881 of the family's 1533-position model. The record is from RNAcentral.
UGGGGAAUAUUGGACAAUGGGGGCAACCCUGAUCCAGCCAUGCCGCGUGUGUGAAGAAGGCCUUUUGGUUGUAAAGCCCUUUAAGCAGGGAGGAGAGGCUAAUGGUUAAUACCCAUUAGAUUAGACGUUACCUGCAGAAUAAGCACCGGCUGACUCUGUGCCAGCAGCCGCGGUAAUACAGAGGGUGCGAGCGUUAAUCGGAAUUACUGGGCGUAAAGCGAGUGUAGGUGGCUCAUUAAGUCACAUGUGAAAUCCCCGGGCUUAACCUGGGAACUGCAUGUGAUACUGGUGGUGCUAGAAUAUGUGAGAGGGAAGUAGAAUUCCAGGUGUAGCGGUGAAAUGCGUAGAGAUCUGGAGGAAUACCGAUGGCGAAGGCAGCUUCCUGGCAUAAUAUUGACACUGAGAUUCGAAAGCGUGGGUAGCAAACAGGAUUAGAUACCCUGGUAGUCCACGCCGUAAACGGUGUCUACUAGCCGUUGGGGUCCUUGAGACUUUAGUGGCGCAGUUAACGCGAUAAGUAGACCGCCUGGGGAGU